Molecule: ribosomal RNA, 47 nt
Filed under: Aplysina clathrata
Lineage: Eukaryota; Metazoa; Porifera; Demospongiae; Verongiida; Aplysinidae
Description: partial 28S ribosomal RNA
Source: RNAcentral
UGGGCCUCAGGUCAGAUGAGACGACCCGCUGAAUUUAAGCAUAUCAU